UUACGAUCUUCACUGAUGUGCUGAAACCCAUCCAAGACCCCAAGGCAUCUCUUGGUUAAGUUAAAUAGAAGGUGACAGCUGCUUCUUCAGCACCACAGGACUUCACUGUGUAAAGGAGCAGUGGACAGGGGAGGGGGACAGAGGAAAGUGGGCAGACAGACAGCCUGUGCCUUUCCCCAGGGGAUGCUGCUGGCCACCCGGCUCUAACAUGAAUCUCAUGAUUCUCAGAGUCGUCGCAGUUUGCCCUUGCCUUCCCAGGAAGACGGAAUUAUAAAACAACCGUAAAUAAAAUAGCAAUCCUUUGGUUUUCAAAUUUGAUUGAUAUAAACAGGGCAAAAAUAAAACAAUAUAAUCCACCAAAAUACUUAGAAAUAAAACAAUAUAAUCUAAAACUAUAUGCUUAGGACUCAUUAUAGUCAGAUGAGACAGGUAUGAUUAUCAUCCACAUCUCAGAGGAAGCAGCACAGAAGGCCUGCAGUCUCCCCAGUUAGGAGACGGAUGGGCCAGGAUGGGCCUGGGCAGUCCCACUUCUGAGCCUGCGUUAACUGCGGCCCGGCUUGGCAUCUGUAGAUGUGCAAAAGAAUAUGCUUAACAAGCAGUUUAUAAUCCCAUAUCUGGGAUUUCUACCACCAGAUUGAAGGACAGGGGCAAGUGUUUCCAGUCAGAG
This 667-nucleotide long non-coding RNA is filed under the name Marmota monax (woodchuck). The record is from RNAcentral. Lineage: Eukaryota; Metazoa; Chordata; Mammalia; Rodentia; Sciuridae.